CCUGUUUUGGCACUAAAUAUAUUAAAUUUGGAACAAUGCAAAGAAGAUGAGCCCUUAUUCCUGAGCAAAGGUGAUAUACAAAUCUGUGAAGUGGUCCAUGUAUUU
RNAcentral lists this small nuclear RNA (105 nucleotides) under Zalophus californianus (California sea lion). Lineage: Eukaryota; Metazoa; Chordata; Mammalia; Carnivora; Otariidae. The record is from RNAcentral.